RNAcentral lists this ribosomal RNA (468 nucleotides) under uncultured bacterium. RNAcentral describes it as "partial 16S ribosomal RNA". It matches the Rfam family "Bacterial small subunit ribosomal RNA", at positions 28 to 507 of the family's 1533-position model. The record is from RNAcentral.
GACGAACGCUGGCGGCGUGCUUAACACAUGCAAGUCGAACGGAAAGGCCCUGCUUUUGUGGGGUGCUCGAGUGGCGAACGGGUGAUUAACACGUGAGUAACCUGCCCUUGACUUUGGGAUAACUUCAGGAAACUUGGGCUAAUACCGGAUAGGAGCUCCUGCUGCAUGGUGGGGGUUGGAAAGUUUCGGCGGUUGGGGAUGGACUCGGGGCUUAUCAGCUUGUUGGUGGGGUAGUGGCUUACCAAGGCUUUGACGGGUAGCUGGCCUGAGAGGGUGACCGGACACAUUGGGACUGAGAUACGGCACAGACUCAUACGGGAGGCAGCAGUGGGGAAUAUUGCACAAUGGGCGGAAGCCUGAUGCAGCAACGCCGCGUGCGGGAUGACGGCCUUCGGGUUGUAAACCGCUUUCGCCUGUGACGAAGCGUGAGUGACGGUAAUGGGUAAAGAAGCACCGGCUAACUACGUG